UAUUGAUAUUGAUGAUCUUAAUGAAAUGGAUGAUUAUGCGGAAAUGAUGCCUCCCUCCAAAACUCAAAAGAUAUCUUCUAGUGGAGGUUCAUCCACCGCACGGAGUGUGAUGAAAGGAGCUUUGAACCUCUAUUUUUCACAAAAAUCAACACAAAAAGGAGGCUUUGAAAAAGGAGGAGGAAUUGAUGAAACAAAGAAAAUUCUAAGAGAGCGUGCGGUAAAUGCUUUUGCAAUUUGGAUGUAUGAUGCCGAGCUCCCUUUUAAUUGCGUCAAUCACAAAUCAUUCGAUAAAUUUUUUGAGGCGGUUGGACAACAUGGCCCCGGAAUGAAGCCUCCUACAUUCCAUGAAGUUAGAGUCACUCACCUUAAAAAAGAGGUGGAUAAAGUAGAAAAAAUUAUUGAUGAGCAUAAAGUGCAAUGGACAAAGUUCGAAUGUUCCAUUAUGAUGGAUAAAUGGACGGCACGAAAUGGCAAAAUGAUCAUCAAUAUUUUGGUGAAUUUCUUCAAUCGGUAGUGUAUUUCUUGGUUCUGUUGAUGCUAGCAAUGGAUCUACCGAUUCCACCAAAAUGUACAAGUUAUUUGAAAGCACUAUCGAAAGAAUUGGACCGGAAAAUGUUGUACAAAUUGUCACCGAUAAUGCUAGUGAGAAUGUCAACGCGGGAAGUAUGAUGAUGGGUGUGUAUCCACACAUUUAUUGGACUCCAUGAGCCGCUCAUUGCAUCAACUUGUAACAUAUUCAAGGUUAAGCCAUAUGCUUUCGGUAAUCAACAUAUCCUUUAACUUUCUUUAUAGUCAAUAAUUCAUUAGCUACUAAUUAAUAUAAUCUAAUCUUUCUAUAACAAUUUUUAAGAAGGCCAUCAGAAUCCAUUCUUACAUUAGUCAAAGGCCAUUGUUGUUAAACUUGAUGAGAAAAUUCACCAAGGAAAGAAAUUUGAAGAAACCGGCCAAGACAAGAUUUGCAACGGCAUUCUUAACUUUGAGAGCUAUGUACAUACAAAGAAAAAACUUGAGAACUUUAGUCCUCUCAACCGAAUGGAAUUCAAGUAAAUUUGCAAAGGAAACUUUGGGGAAAGAAGUUGUCAAUCUUAUUAUUUCUGUCCACUUUUGGAAUAAUGUUGUUCGGGCACUUACAGUUUGUAGCCCUAUGACAAAAGUGCUUCGUUUGGUCGAUGGGGAGAAAAAACCACAAAUGGGUCAUAUUUAUGAAGCAACGGAUAGAGCCAAAGAAGCUAUUGCACAUGGUUUUCGUGGAGUUAAGAAGCAAUAUGAGAAAGUGUUUCAAAUUAUUGAUGAGAGGUGGUCAGAACAACUCCAUCGGCCUUUGCAUGCUGCAGGCCAUGUUUUGAACCCAAGAUUAUAUUAUAAAGCUCAAGAAGAGGGAACUAUAUCACAGACUUUGUGGACCGAGUAUUAUGCAUGUGUUGAGAAGUUGGUCCAUGAUACAACAAUACAAAGAUGCACUAGUCGUUGAGCUUCCUAAAUACAAAAUGGCGGAUGGACUAUUUGGUUGUGGUCCGGCUAAAAGAGCUAGAGACACAAGGUCACCGGUUGAAUGGUGGUCACUAUUUGGUAGUGAAACACCAAACUUGCAAAAGUUUGUCAUGAAAGUAUUAAGCCUAACUUGUAGCUCAUCCGGAUGUGAGCGAAAUUGGAGUGUGUUUGAACACGCAAGUAAAAAUUUAUAUCCUAUUUUUCAUAUUAUAUUAUUAUCAAUAUCAACUAGUUAAUAUCAAUAACUUAUGCACAGAUUCAUUCCAAAAAGAAGAAUAGGCUUACAUUAUCGCGUCUCAAUGAUCUAGUGUACAUUAAGUACAAUAGAACAUUGAAACGUCGUUUUGAUGCUCGUGAUCUUAUUGAUCCAAUUCGCUUAGAUAACAUAGAUGAUUCAAAUGAAUGGUUAGUUGGAUGCCCCGAAGAUCAAGAUGAUGAACUAGUAUAUGAGGAUGAUGAUCUUACCUGGGAUAGUGUUGCUACGGCAAUUAGAGUGGACGAGAGUAUCUAUCAUCUUAGGGGACUUUCUUCAAGAUCAACAGUACUUGACAAGGGCAAAGGAGUAGAAAGUACAUCUACAAGUUCAUCUUCAAGUAGGACUCGGACACUAAUUGAUAAAGAAUACGAGGAAGAAGAUGAAGAGCAAUAUAAUGAUGUAGAGGAUUUUGAUCUUCAAGAGUUGGAUAAUUUUGAAGAAGAAUAGACUUUUAAAGUUUUGGUUUAUUGUAUUUUGAAUUGUUUGGUCUUUAAAGUUUUAGACAUUUUAGUAUCUACUAUUGGUUUUUGAAUUGAAUAUUUGCUAAUAUGUGUGAUUGCGAUUAAGAUUUUGGAUAAGAUAUGCAAUUAAAUAUUUUUAAUUUUUGCUAUUAAUUGGCGCCUUUAUUCAAAAAGGCAAGUGCCUCGCCGCUCGCCUCGCCGCGUGGCGAGGCAGGCCCUUGUCGCCUCUCGCCGUCCACAACACUGAGAUGGAUUAAGAACCUCUACAUAACUAAUACAAAAAGUUGGCUGGCAUAUAAGAAAUAUCUCUGCACAACUAAUGCAGCAUUUAGAUGGUGUUAAGCUGGUAAUAAACAAUAUCAAAAUUCAAGUUAUUUUGGGAAUCCAGAUAUUAUUCCAUGGGGAAUCCCUAGAGUUGGGUUUGAAUUGCAGUUGGUAUGAUAAUAAUCCUCCUCAAAAAACAAAGUUAGUGACAUCCAAGUGAGAUUUGAAAAUAUCAGUCAGGUAUAUUCUUCUUUCAUGAUAAAGACCAAGUAAACAGUUUCACCUGACUAUUACUCCUAUUGUCCUGAAUCCUCUCUGCUCUUACCUAGACCUUCCUUUCUGGACUUGUCCUCUCUUUGAUAAGUUCAUUCAUAGACCUCAAAGUUUCUUUUUGACAAGUAAACAGGUUUAAAUAUGGCAAGAUGCACUAGACCAGCCCUACAAAAGAUAAUUACAGAGAGUGAAAGUCACCUGUCAGAGAGUUCAUAUAUCUUCUUUGCUUUUGGGUGGGUAUUUUUUUUUUUUUUGGGGGGGGGGGGGGGGGUAUUCCAGAGGUUUGAUGUUGUGCAUAAUUUGGCAACCAACUAAGACACUGUUGUAAAACCGGCCACUGAUAAAUAGUCCUAAUCAUAUUUGCUGGUUUUCCACAAUAACCACGAGAUGUCAAACUACAAUAAUCUAGGAUGCCAUAUUACAUUAUUCUGGUAAAGCUUCCUUGCUUUUGUACUUUCCACAAUAUGUGAUUGAAGAAAUCUCACAGGUAACCAACCAUUAGUGGAACAAUAUAUGAUAAUGAUCCCAAGCCAUGAAGGCAUAUAAUAUCUGUUAACCAUCAAAAUUUGCAGGAUUUCAAAAAACAGAUAUGCCUCUCAUGGAAGAAUUACGCAAUUGUCAGCAUAGGUGGGCACUACCAACAAAGUAAUGCUAAACCAAAUAAAAACUGUUAUCUAUUUGUGCAUGAAUCUAUGGAAGUUGGAAAAGUUUUUCAACAAGAACAUUUUAUACAUCAUUCUCUAUGUGAACAGCAGUAACUUAACCAGACUACACCCAUAAAAAGUAAAUUUUCUGUGUGAAUAACAGUAACUUAACCAGUACAUACCUAUAAAUAACAGUAAUUUAAUUGGACUAGAAAUGAUUUCUCUUAGCUUUGAAUUUCACAAGAUUACAUGACUUAUUCCUAAUCGUUCGCCCAGAGCUCUAAAUUUUAACAAUGCUACCAGAUUUGUACUUCACUAGGUAUAAGUGAAGCCUUUCAUUUUUGGCAGUCUAUCAACUACACAGUAAAAUUAAGAACAGUUAGGUAAAUCCACAAUUUCUGUCUUAUCCAGCAGGUUUAAGAACAAGCCCAACCAAUAUUAAGUAUAUCUGAAUGUCAAAGAAAAUCAUGUUCAAGAGAGUCGGCAAAUGGAGAAGCAGGUCCCAAUAAAUGUAAGAAAUAAGAUGUUGAAGCACCGACAACAGAUAUGUUCAGAUUCUUCAAAGAUUAUUAGUUUGUAAGAACUAAACUCUGAACAGUUUAUUUUAAUACUUACAAUGGGUGUAACAGCAGCUUCUGAGAAUCAGUGUACAUAGAAUUAUUCAGAUAAUACACUAACCAUUCAGAAGGUUCAAUUUAGUUACUCAAUACGGUGGUACCGUGGUAGCAGCAGCUUCUUGAGAAUCAGAUAACUUAUCACCACCGUAAUCUGAUAUGUAACAAGAACUAAUUACACAUGUUCCAGUUUUGUCCCAAAACUUUGGUAAGUUAUUUAAAAGGCUAUAUUUUCUAAAUUAAUUUUAUUACUCAGCAUGGUGGUAGCAGCAGCUUCUGAGAAUCAGAUUAUGGUAAUGUUGAGAAUCAGAUUAUGGUAGUGGUCAGUAUCAGAUUAUGGUAAUGGUGAGAAUCAGAUUAUGGUAACUUAUCACCACCUAAUCUGAUAUGUAAAAAAACUAAUAACACGUGUUCCACUUUUUGUCCCAAAACUUUGGUAUGUGUUAUUUAUUAGGUUAUAUUAUCUAAAUCCACUUCAGAUGAAAUUCCAAAUUAUAAAAAAAAUUUACCAAACAAAUAGAAAAACAGUCUUAUAUCAGUUGUUGGCUAAGAUGAAAUUAAAGACCUCAAAGAUGUCAUACAGCAUUUUGUGCCCACAGAAGGAACAUCUUGUGAAGAGAAAAACUUCUACUCAUUGAAUACAUAAAAAGUACACCAUUUUUAUUGUCUUAUAGCUCACAGCGAAAAUAAUGUCAUCUGUAGAACAAGUGAUAGUUUUCUUUAACAGAUCCAAAGUCCAAUCAAAUAUUUUAGCUCUAAAGAAUCCUAUUCAAUAUUAAUUUAUCCAAGGAAUCAAUGAUUGAUGCAAAUUAAGGGGGGAGAACAUUAACUCCAUACACAAAGGGGAAAAAAGGGUCAUCGGUUGUCCUUAUGUUUGACAGAAUUAUCAUACCGACUCAUGUAGAUACAUGUUUUAUUUCUUUGAAGAUAAGUUUAAUACAAUAAUUUGAAAUUGGGAAAAGUCAAAAAGUUGGUCGAAAGAUAUCACAUUAAAUUGAACUAAGAUAUUUCUAACUUGCACUCACUUCAAGCUAAAGAAGUGCUAUUUAUGCAAUUGGAACAACUGUUCAGGUUAAGAUUAAACUAAGAAGUAGGCAGCUUAGGAUGGGACUGAGGGGUAAGAAAUGCAUCUAGUAGCAUGACAGCAUUUCAAUAACGGCGCCUGUUAAGAUUUCAGCUCCGCUGUUUCUUUUACCAUCCUUUUUUUUUCUUGCACGACAAUUAAAAUAUAGAGAACUUCUGAUAUAAAUCACUAAUAUUAUUACAUAGAUAUUAACUUAUUUUUCAGUUUCAUUUGAUCUGAUGAUGGCAUGAGUUGAGCUUAAAUGGGGGGAAAAUGAGGAUUCAUAUAGUUGAACCCAAAUUGUUUGUAAUUGAAGCAUUGUCGAUUCUUUUUUGUGUUUUGUGAUGGAUUUGUAGGCAACAAAAUAGCCCUUGAUAUAAAUCACUAUAUAACAAAUUCAUAUCACAAAACAAAAAAGAGAGGUCACUCACUUGUUACCCUCUAAAACUGAUAUCAAAAAUAUUCUCCAACAUCAAGACCAAGAAGAAGAUGGAAAUCCCAAGGAAAACCAAUAAAAGAUAAAUGAAGAUUCGAAUUGCUUCCUUAUCUGCACUAUGUAUCCAAUCCUAUUUGCACAGAUGUUCCUAACCAGGAGAUGAGGGGGUGCUUUGAAGGGGGGCGAAAAAUGUUGACUUCUCUUUGUUUGUAUCAAGACGCCCGAAGGGCUGACCCUAUGCACCGCAGGAGCCGUGACCCUAAUGCUCAUGUGUAUGUCCAAUUAGAAAUUUUCAGUUGAUAGGCAUCAUGUGCCUUCAACCGUAAAACAAAAACCUCUGAUUAACUUGCUAACAUUUACAAGAAAGAUUAAAUAGAAAUGUGAGCAAGGGUUAAGAAUGCCAACAUGGAAAUUCUCAAAAUUGAGAAUCUGAAACAGGGAAAAUUUUGGCUAGCCUAUAUCAGUUAUGCAUCCUCCCAAAUUUCCAGUUAUAUAUGAAGUAUGGAAGCAAAUUAUAUCAAUACUCAUUGGUAAACAUAUUCUUCAAGUUAUGAAGGAUUCUCAUUGUACACGGAUAGAGUAAGUAACUCAUUGCUGAUAUAUGAUAGGAUUUUACUUGCAUUACCUGGAGACUAAAAGACAUCACCAAAUCCAACAAGAUUUACCAGUUUAAAAAAAAAAGAAGAUGAUUUCUUGUUAAUAACAAAACUGAAGGAAGAUGACCAGCUAAUACAAAUUUCUCAUCUGCACCAAACUCUACAACUCAGUAUAGUCAGCAUAAUUACAAGGGUCAACAGGGCUUACACUUUGUUAAGUAUGUGUCUGUGAAAUGCAUUUGUCAGGAAAAUUACAAUAGUACAAAAUCCUGCCAAGGGUCACCCAACUUUACAGCAAAUGCUCUAAUGACUGUCUUUUUUCCAGACGUCAGUCCUGUAUCCUACUUGAGCCACCAUUAGA
This is a non-coding RNA of Solanum lycopersicum (tomato), 6459 nucleotides long. NCBI's taxonomy places the organism in Eukaryota, Viridiplantae, Streptophyta, Magnoliopsida, Solanales, Solanaceae. The record is from RefSeq and is a predicted model, not a curated record.